GAUGAAGAACGUAGCGAAAUGCGAUAAGUAGUGUGAAUUGCAGAAUUCAGUGAAUCAUCGAAUCUUUGAACGCACAUUGCGCCCCUUGGUAUCCCGAGGGGCAUGCCUGUUCGAGCGUCAUUUCACCACUCAAGCCUGGCUUGGUGUUGGGCGACGUCCUCUUUGGGGACGCGCCUCGAAACGCUCGGCGGCGAGGCACCGGCUUUAAGCGUAGCAGAAUCUUUCGCUUUGGAAGUCGGGGCCCCGUCUGCCGGAAGACCUGCUCGCAAGGUUGACCUCGGAUCAGGCAGGGAUACCCGCUGAACUUAAGCAUAUCAAUAAGCGGAGGA
This 329-nucleotide unclassified non-coding RNA is filed under the name soil metagenome. RNAcentral's name for it is "partial contains 5.8S ribosomal RNA, internal transcribed spacer 2, and large subunit ribosomal RNA". The stretch from base 1 to 120 matches the Rfam family "5.8S ribosomal RNA", at positions 35 to 154 of the family's 154-position model. The record is from RNAcentral.